GACGAACGCUGGCGGCGUGCUUAACACAUGCAAGUCGAGCGGUAAGGCCCUUUCGGGGGUACACGAGCGGCGAACGGGUGGGUAACACGUGGGUGACCUGCCCUCAGCUCUGGGAUAAGCCUGGGAAACUGGGUCUAAUACCGGAUAUGACUCCAUGACGCAUGUUGUGGGGUGGAAAGCCUUGUGCGGCUGGGGAUGGGCCCGCGGCCUAUCAGCUUGUUGGUGGGGUGAUGGCCACCAAGGCGACGACGGGUAGCCGGCCUGAGAGGGCGACCGGCCACACUGGGACUGAGACACGGCCCAGACUCCUACGGGAGGCAGCAGUGGGGAAUCUUGCGCAAUGGGCGAAAGCCUGACGCAGCGACGCCGCGUGAGGGAUGACGGCCU
This 387-nucleotide ribosomal RNA is filed under the name uncultured bacterium. Its description in RNAcentral is "bacterial SSU rRNA". It matches the Rfam family "Bacterial small subunit ribosomal RNA", at positions 28 to 417 of the family's 1533-position model. The record is from RNAcentral.